Molecule: ribosomal RNA, 494 nt
Filed under: uncultured bacterium
Lineage: Bacteria
Description: partial 16S ribosomal RNA
Rfam family: Bacterial small subunit ribosomal RNA
Source: RNAcentral
GACGAACGCUGGCGGCGUGCUUAACACAUGCAAGUCGAACGGUGAAGCGCCUUCCUUUUUGGUGGGUGUGGAUGAGUGGCGAACGGGUGAGUAACACGUGAGUAACCUGCCCCCUUCUUCUGGAUAACCGCAUGAAAGUGUGGCUAAUACGGGAUAUUCUGGGUCUGUCGCAUGAUGGGUCUGGGAAAGAUAUUGUUUCGGUGGGGGAUGGGCUCGCGGCCUAUCAGCUUGUUGGUGGGGUGAUGGCCUACCAAGGCGGUGACGGGUAGCCGGCCUGAGAGGGUGGGCGGUCACACAGGGGCUGAGACGCGGCCAAGACUACUACGGGAGGCAGCAGUGAGGAAUAUUGCACAGUGGGCGGAAGCCUGAUGCAGCGACGCCGCGUGAAGGAUGGAGGCCUGCGGGUUGUGAACCUCUUUCGCCAGUGAAGCAGGCCUGCCUCGUUUGUGGGUGGGUUGACGGUAGCUGGAUAAGAAGCGCCGGCUAACUACGUG